This 497-nucleotide ribosomal RNA is filed under the name uncultured bacterium. RNAcentral's name for it is "partial 16S ribosomal RNA". It matches the Rfam family "Bacterial small subunit ribosomal RNA", at positions 28 to 507 of the family's 1533-position model. The record is from RNAcentral.
GAUGAACGCUGGCGGCGUGCCUAAUACAUGCAAGUCGAGCGAACAGAUGAGGAGCUUGCUCCUCUGACGUUAGCGGCGGACGGGUGAGUAACACGUGGAUAACCUACCUAUAAGACUGGGAUAACUUCGGGAAACCGGAGCUAAUACCGGAUAAUAUAUUGAACCGCAUGGUUCAAUAGUGAAAGACGGUUUUGCUGUCACUUAUAGAUGGAUCCGCGCCGCAUUAGCUAGUUGGUAAGGUAACGGCUUACCAAGGCAACGAUGCGUAGCCGACCUGAGAGGGUGAUCGGCCACACUGGAACUGAGACACGGUCCAGACUCCUACGGGAGGCAGCAGUAGGGAAUCUUCCGCAAUGGGCGAAAUCUUGACGGAGCAACGCCGCGUGAGUGAGGAAGUUCUUCGGAUCGUAAAACUCUGUUAUUAGGGAAGAACAAAUGUGUAAUUAACUAUGCACGUCUUGACGGUACCUAAUCAGAAAGCCACGGCUAACUACGUG